RNAcentral lists this ribosomal RNA (484 nucleotides) under uncultured bacterium. RNAcentral describes it as "partial 16S ribosomal RNA". It matches the Rfam family "Bacterial small subunit ribosomal RNA", at positions 30 to 507 of the family's 1533-position model. The record is from RNAcentral.
AUUGAACGCUGGCGGCAGGCCUAACACAUGCAAGUCGAGCGGAUGAAGGGAGCUUGCUCCUGGAUUCAGCGGCGGACGGGUGAGUAAUGCCUAGGAAUCUGCCUGGUAGUGGGGGAUAACGUCCGUUAACGGGCGCUAAUACCGCAUACGUCCUUAUGGAGAAAGUGGUGGAUCUUCGGACCUCACGCUAUCAGAUGAGCCUAGGUCGGAUUAGCUAGUUGGUGGGGUAAAGGCCUACCAAGGCGACGAUCCGUAACUGGUCUGAGAGGAUGAUCAGUCACACUGGAACGGAGACACGGUCCAGACUCCUACGGGAGGCAGCAGUGGGGAAUAUUGGACAAUGGGCGAAAGCAUGAUCCAGCCAUGCCGCGUGUGUGAAGAAGGUCUUCGGAUUGUAAAGCACUUUAAGUUGGGAGGAAGGGCAGUAAGUUAAUACCUUGCUGUUUUGACGUUACCAACAGAAUAAGCACCGGCUAACUUCGUG